Molecule: transfer RNA, 29 nt
Filed under: Camchaya spinulifera
Lineage: Eukaryota; Viridiplantae; Streptophyta; Magnoliopsida; Asterales; Asteraceae
Description: partial tRNA-Phe
Source: RNAcentral
AGCUCAGUUGGAAAAGCAGAGACUGAAAA